RNAcentral lists this ribosomal RNA (750 nucleotides) under Pharyngostrongylus sp. F311. Its description in RNAcentral is "partial 5.8S ribosomal RNA". The stretch from base 382 to 531 matches the Rfam family "5.8S ribosomal RNA". The record is from RNAcentral. Lineage: Eukaryota; Metazoa; Nematoda; Chromadorea; Rhabditida; Strongylidae.
UCGAAACCUUAUGGUUCCUUUGAUCUUGAGAAACCAACAUGCUUGAUACUUUACGACUUUGUUCGUGGAGAGUUGGGAGUAUCAGCCCACCAUUUGAGUCCGUUUGGAGGUGUCUAAGUACAGCAUGAGCCGUUUACGGCCGGCGUCAGUGAUUGUUGUACAAAGUUCGCGCAUUCAGUUGCGCUGAGCUAAGCUGAGACUUGAUGAGCACUGCGUGAGUGCCGCCUCUAUGUUUGUACUGGUGGUUAAGCAUUAGGCUGCCAGCCUUCUGCAACACCUGCUGGUCAGGAAAUCUUAAUGACUCGUUCCGCGAGCGCCAGUAUAGACGACAACAUUUUACAUUUAACGUUUGAAGAAGCGUGGCUUUAUGUCACAAUCGACUAGCUUCAGCGAUGGAUCGGUCGAUUCGCGUAUCGAUGAAAAACGCAGCUAGCUGCGUUAUUUACCACGAAUUGCAGACGCUUAGAGUGGUGAAAUUUUGAACGCAUAGCGCCGUUGGGUUUUCCCUUCGGCACGUCUGGUUCAGGGUUGUUUUCAAUAUACUACAGUGUGGCCUGUAUAACACUGUUUGUCGAAUGACGCUUGUGCAUUCUGUGCGCAAUCCUCGUUCUAGAUGAGAAUAUACUGCAACAUGUACUGCUUGGUACGCGAUUGUCAUGAGCGUGUUGUCACUGUCAAAUGUAUUAAGCGAGAAAUGAAUACUUUGGGCAGGGCUUGUUUGAGACAACAACGCGACUAUGUCAUUUGCAA